Colius striatus (speckled mousebird) is the source of this 4241-nucleotide long non-coding RNA. RefSeq lists it as uncharacterized. Lineage: Eukaryota; Metazoa; Chordata; Aves; Coliiformes; Coliidae. The transcript is spliced from 4 exons. The record is from RefSeq and is a predicted model, not a curated record.
GCCCGCACCGGGCGUGCGCCAGCGCCGCGCCCUGCGGGGCCGGGAGGAGGGACAGCGGCACCGACCUGCCGAACUGCAGCGGGAAGCGGCCGCGGAUGCGGUGGAAGAGCUUCUCUCCCGUGUCCAGCUCCACGUAGAAGUAAGGCGUCCCCGGCUGCACCACCUGCGGGAGGGGGGAGAGGUGGGGAGAAAAGGCCACUGCAGCCCCGCAGCUCAGACCGGUUCUACCCACCCGCAAACCGGAUGGCAUCUGGACAAGAGCUGGUGUAUUCCAACUACAGAGGCUUUUCUUGAGAGAGGAAACUGGACAAAGCAAACCGCACACCACCACACGCCCCCCCUGCCCCCACCCCCAAAGUGCAUCAGCAGUUAACACUAAACCAAAACUUCCAAGGGACAAUGAAGUGGUGGAUCGCUCUCUGCUGGGGUCAUCGGUGGAUGAUGCAUACACGGCACUACUCAAAGAUUUUGUGGUUCAAUUCUGUAGUUACCACUACAGUCACUACAGGAGAGAAUGGCACAGUUCUGAUCCUUCUUAACCCGAGCUAAGCUAUUCCAUAGCAAUGCAGUAUAUUUUACGGAAGAAAAGCAUCAGCCUCUACACUUGCCAACUUGGGGAUCAACAACUGCAAUGGCUUAGAAUAAGACCAGCAUGUACACCUACUAUUGCUGGCUCCUGCUGCAGAUGAGGUCUGUCUGUGACUACUGAGCUUAAAGGAAAAAAACUCUAUGGCACUACUGACUCAUUUUUCUAAGGUAACAGGAACAUUUGUUUCAAAUUCUCAUCCAAAGGAAUCUAAAGCUACUUGAUAUGCAGUGGCACUGGAAGAGGGUUAGUGUUUGGUAUCAGAAGGAACUAACUCAGCAAACCCUACACAUGGCUGGAAUAAUUUCCUGAUAAGCAUCUGUUCAGAUAACAUCUGUUGUUCGAAGGCACUUCGAGCAGAACACAUCUCCGUAUCAGAUCUACAACGGUCUGCCUCCAACAACUUAAUCACACAAAGUGACUGCAGAGGGAAAGUGCAGCCAAUAUAAGACAGAGAGAAAGUAACAGAAGUACAGCGGUCCAAUGGGACAGGAAUCACCUGAAGGAGGAGAACAACAUUUCUGUCUAAAGAGGAAAAGACAAAACAAACCACUUGCAGAAAGCAGACAGUCCAUCACUGGAGCUGGUGUGCUCCUCAGUACUGCUCAGAAUCAUCAUAACAGACAGGAGGAUCUGGCAUAACUCCAGAUAGUGCAUCCUGCUGCCAAAGCCAGUCCCACUUUACACCAAGUUCAUGCUGGAAAAGUUCUGCCAGCCAGUGCCAAAGAUGUUAACCUCUCAACAGACUCACACAGAGGCUGAAACCACUUGACUAAGUGACCGUAUAUUGCAAAAUGCCACUAGAAGGCUUUAAAGAUGUAGAAGAAAACACUUGAGGACUGUAAAGACCGGGGAUGCUCACACAAGCUUAGUAUGGCUCCCUCACAAAAGCACAACUGCAGUCUGCAAUCCAACCCAUGCUGGAAGAACUGGCACGUACAGCAGCAGGAUUUUUCUCAGUAAACUUCACAAACUUUCACACCUACCUUCAAUUGGAUAUUGAAGCUCAAAGCACAAGAAUUUUUGCUUCCAUCAAGUUAUUAACUGUUUGGUCUAUUUAAAACCUUAGUGGCAGGGGCUGAACACUAUGUAUGGCAAUUCUCAGCUGGAGGCAGGGAGGUUGUCCCAGCUAAAAGGAUCAGGAGCUGCUUGCCACCCUUGUGUCCACCCAUGCUGACAGCCCUUUGCUUUGUGGGCAUGCUCCACGGAGAAAGACUGGAGAGCAGGGCUUAGUGCUUGCACUUCCUACCUGACACACCGCUUCAGUAAAGCCAAAGAUAAGCCAAACUUCAGGCUGAGUAUUCCGUUCACCCAAUGAUUUCCCAAUUUGUUUUCUCUACAUUGCAUUAAGAUAUAUAGGCAUAGCUCUUCAUGUGUUUCCAGUGGGAGCAUAUAUCACAAUGCUCAGAAGGCAAAACAUGCUAUGCACAGGGAAAUAAUCUGACUCUCUACACCAAUGAACACAAUCCAGUUGUCUGAUAAGCAACUUACAAAGUUGUAGAUUUCAAAACUCCUGACACCAACACAGUGUUCAGAUCCCAAGAAGGAACUCCUUGCCCUCAGGUGGCAAGUAAUCAAUAUUUAAAGGAGCAUGGAUGAGCUAGAUAUAGGACUCCAGGUCGGGUUUCAUGAGAGCAGAGCAGAGGGGCAGUAUCCUCUCCCCUGGCCUGCUGGUCACACUGCUUUUGGUCCAGCCCAGGAUAUGGUUGGCUUAAGGGGCCAACUGUAACAAUCUCCCAGCUAUAAAAUUUGGUUCAUGCAUACAGUUUACACAGAACCUUGGAAGUGACCAAAGAACAGCAACAGCCCAAGGCUAGGCCCAAACACUGUCCUAAGCUCCCUGACCAUGGAGAAGAAAAGCAGAGUGCACACAUGGGUGAGAAGGCAGCGUACCUCUGCACACAGGGCUGUCUCCGUGUGCUGCACCUCCUUCCGCCAUUUUUGGUAUGGGUUUUCAGUGACAUCCUGUGGCUGUUUCACCAGCUCUGCAGGGUCCAUCGAGCUCAUUGGCACAAUGGUGAAAGCGUAGAGAUACUAUAACAAAAACAGAUAUCUCAAAUGCAAAAAGUUCUUGCCAUUACCAACUCUGAAGAGGUCAGCUGUGAACUAAGCCACCCUGAAACACUGACACACUUAGCACUGCAAGAACUCAGCAAAUCAGUGCUUAAGCUAGGGCAGGACAUGAACAACACACUCCCUGUGCCAAUCUCCCACCCAGUGCAACCAAGAGUUUAUGCAUUGCUUCCAAGUGGCUCACUGCUUUCACAUUAAGGAAAGACCUCUUUGAAAAGCAGCAAUGUGUCCUGCUUGAAAAAGAAACAACCUUGAUCCUUGCCUGUUACCAGGCCUUCUUUCUGUCCAGAACUUCUUGACCUUUUUUUCUUACCAGACCUAUUUCCUAUGCCUUCUUAACCACUAUCAACCUGUUCUUCUAUAUCAAUAUUCUGUGAAAUUCAUAAGGUGAGAGAAGAAAGAGGUUAAAGAAACCAAAACAUCCCCUUUCCAUCCCAAAAGUUAGUUAUUUUUAGUGAUCUGUAAGGGGUCCUUUGGAAUUUCCCUUCCUUCUUCAAAACAGGUGACAUAAACCAAAAAUAUGUAAAGCAGCUGGGGAGGAGGAAGGAGCUUCUAACCACUUUCCUCUGCAGCCUUCUUCACAGUUAUGUGCCAUUUGACCAGGCAGACAAUAGAGAAGAACAACGGUGCCUAAGAGCACAUCUUGCAGCCCACCCUUCUGACAUAAUGGGCAAAUGGUAUCUAUUAGUCAAGUGAUGAAGGUCCCUCCAGUUCAAACAAGCUUUUAAGUGAUUGAUGCUGUCCUCUAGCUAGUCAAAGUUGGGCUUACUUUUUUGAGAAAAGAAGAAAGAUUCAGGAGUGUCAGUACCUUUCUCUUGCUUGCAUUGCCAACAUCAGCAAGUGCAAUAAACCUGCUCACAUGCUGUGGGGUCUCUUGUAGCACUAUAUGAUUUCUGUAAGGAAGCAAAACAUGGACUAUACUGGCAUAUACAAUAUAGAAAAGGAUAGGGGGAAACCACAAGUCCUCCAUGAAGCUACUCAAGAUAGCAUGUCAGCCACACAGUCUUUGGCUAAGAACAUGGAGGCUUGAGGACAGAUUCAUGAGAUCUAACAACAAAUAGCUGCACAGAUCCAAAUGAUGUCUCACUGCAGUUCAAAUAUAGAGCUGAGAGGACAAAACACUAGGCUGAGAAGAGCUCCACUUUUAAAGUGUUUCCUGCAUAAGAGGUAAUAAUCUUACUCAACAUUAUCACAACAGCCUGAAUUUUAUUUGUAGGUUGUUCUGACACCUACCUUACAUCACUAGUCACAUUUUAUGUACCAAGUUAUGACUGACGAUACCAGUCUCUUCACCACACAAGAUCUUUUCCAUGAUACAUUUUAUCCCUAAAUAAGGCUGAACACUUUAAAUGCAACCAAAGGCAUUAACAGAUUUAUAGCAAUGUACCCAGACAAGUAUUGUCAGCAAUGGCACAGUUUUUGUGGCAGCAGGAACUAUGUAAUAAGUUGCAUCUGAGAAACAAUCUUGACCCUGUGCUGGGACUGGAUGAUUCCAUAAAAUAAUGUUAAAGUUGUCCUCCUGUGUUCUAUAUAAAAUGGACUCCUAUUAGAAAAUAAAGGAGAUUUCACAUGGUCUUACAAA